RNAcentral lists this long non-coding RNA (5659 nucleotides) under Sus scrofa (pig). RNAcentral describes it as "lncRNA (ENSSSCG00055021816.1)". The record is from RNAcentral. Lineage: Eukaryota; Metazoa; Chordata; Mammalia; Artiodactyla; Suidae.
UUUUUUUUUUUUUUUUUUUUUUUUUGGUCUUUUUGCUAUUUCUUGGGCCACUCCCAUGGCUUAUGGAGGUUCCAAGGCUAAGGGCAAAAAAGACAAAAAAAAAAAAAAAAAGUAAACUCUGCCAUUUAUAUCCUUGCAAUAUGCUUUGUCAGAAGAAUAGUAAUAAGAAUAACCUCAUUUUGCUAAGUGGUUUGUCUGUAGGAAUUGGAAUCAGAUGCAGCAGAUGAGCUGGAGAGACCAUGCAGCUUCAUCCCUCUUAAUCACUUUUUGUUUCUUACCUAUGCCAACCUCUCUGCAGCAUCCGACACCUAUAGGUACUCCCUCCCUCUUGAAAUGUUCGUUCCCCCAGUUGGCCUGACAGCACAAGAGCAGCUUGGUUUUCCUCCUGCUCUGUGAGUGACCGUUCUCUGUUCCUGCGUGUGGUCCAUUUCCACAUCUGCCUGUCUGUGAGAGGAUGACCUCCUUUAUUUCUCUGUUCUAGGUCCUCUUCUCUUUUUCAUUAAAUACUCUCCCUGCAGAGAGGGAUGGACCGGAAGUUUGGGAUCAAAGUUGCAAAUGGAUAAACAACAAGACACUGUUUCUAGCACAGGUAAAUAAAUAUAUUCAAUAUCCUGUGAUAAGCCAUAAUGGAAAAGAAUAUGAAAAAACAUAUAUAUGUAUAAUUGAAUUACUUUUCUGUACAGCAGAAAUUAACACAACACUGUAAAUCAACUAUACUUCCAUAAUUUUUUUUUUUAAAGAAGCAAAGGUGCCAUAUAAAUAACAGACAUUCAAAAAUGUUGACGUUCCAAAGAACCGGGACAAGGGCUGGUGCUCUGGGUGAGCACAACGAAUUCCUCAGGGAGAAUUCACCUGCAACCCGUCAGUCAUUCCUGCCCAGAGGCUGAACUGCAAGUAGGGUUGAAGCCCCAUGGUUCCAACAACAGAAAAGCAUGUUCUCAUCUUCCUCCCCUAACUCUGGCAACAUUAACAGCCUGUCUAGUCCUGACUUAACUGCUUGGGAGAUCUACCAAGGGCACGCCUCUAGCAGACUUGACCCCGUAACAUCAAAGCUGCUCUUUUGGCCUCAACUGGGCAAGGCUGCGGCUUCUACUUCUAUGGGAAGGAACACCAGAAUGUGGACACUUUGCAAGGAGUUCCAAAAACCUGCCUCUGUUUUCAGGCAUGCUUCACCCUGCUAGACUGUGCAGAGGAUUUGAUGGGCUCAGGUGAAAAGUCAGGCAGGAAGCUGAAAGCAUCCAGUGUAACAGGAAGAGAGAGGAGGUGGGGCGGAGGUGCCACUAGGAGAUGAAUGGCCAGUAUGAGUCAGGCUCUCUGGACUCCUCAGCAGACAUGCUCCAAGGGCCGAUCCAAAUGCUGAACCCGGCUUCCUCAACCCAGCUUUUAUCUGCUUCCCCAACAAAAAGCAAAACUCUGGGCCUUGACAGCCUAAUGCAGCGUGCAUCAGGUGUCCUAGAGAAACAUUCCUGCUGGCUGGAAAUGAGCAUGGCUUUUAAGAUAUCGCUAUCCCCAGCAUCAAUUUUGGCUUCCCAGCUCAUUUUCUUUCGACUUCAUACCCAGCACAUAAACAAUCAGGACAAAUGAUAUGGGGCACGAAACAUUCCGUCUCAGGCUUCUUUGCAUGUCCCCUUGUCUCUCUGUAAAUUGGAACCAUGGUGUAAAGAUCACAGCGUUAUCAAACACGCAGGAGAAGUGACGUUCAGCACAUCUCCAACACAAUCAUCCCACUAGACUUAAAUAAAUCAGCUUCAUUUUCAACCGCCACGGAAACCCCUGUGAAAGCACAAAAGCUUUCAGACAGGUUUUCAUGACACUCUAACUCAUCCUGUUUUCUUCCCCUAAUCAUUGUCGUAUUGAUCCCAAAAUAACGAUAAUCACUACAAUUCAGGCCCUACUUGUUUAAAAAUAAUUUUGACAAGCGUUCAGAUUAAAUUAGUCAUUGCAUUUUCAAUGGGAGAAAGCCCUUGCUAAACUAUUAAUACUCUAAGAAUGUAAACAGAAUGUUUAAUUUGGCUGAAAAAGCAAGUGGAUCCUUAAAGACCGUUUACACACCAAAAACGCACAUAUUAAGUUGAUGUGCUAUCUAGAAACAAUUUUUAUUUAUACAUGAAGUCAAAUAUACUUGGUUAACCUAAUUUAAAUCACUAUGUAAAGCUGGAGGAAAUUAUAAUGUUGCUUCUUUCAGAACCUUAAAACCGCGACAGGCUUUUCCUCCUAAUUAUGGCUAAUUAGUGAGGUUUUAUUGUAACAAUAAAUCACAGGGAAGCUUCCAGUUUCAUGGGUGGGUGAUGCCGAUUCUAAUCAAGAUUGCUGACCUAAUGCUUGAGGAAGGAUUGGCUGCUUCCAGAAGGACCCAUUAAUGACUUUGGAAAACAGAUGUGCCACUGAGUGAUGCUGGUCCAUGCCAAGGACAGAGUGUCCCCUCUUCCUCCAUCCUUUUAAAUAAAACCAAGGACAAACACUGACCCAGGAGCACUGGAUAAACAACCAAACAGCUUCCAGUAUCAUCAGAGUUUGAAAAAGCCUGCACAGCCAGCAUGCAAUACAAAUGGGAUGAACCUGUUUUCGUCUCUAACUCUGCUAACAUUUUGCUGGACCUGACAGUAAACAGAAGCCUUAAACAAAAAUGAGGAAGGAAGAGAAGGCCUUGGAAAUCUGGAUAUUUAAUUAGGGACCCUUUGGUUGUAAGCAAUAAAAACCCAUUGAAACCAGCUUAACAAAAAGACUUAAAGGAUGUGGAAACUUUGCAUAUCAGACAAAGAUGCACAGAAGGGCCACAUGAGUCUAGACUCAGUAACCUCAUCUGUCUCUGUCACUCUCAUCUGUCUCCUUUUUUUUUCUUUUUAUUCACUAUGCACUGGGUUAAAUGUGGAUGUGCCUGGAUGUUCCGGUUUAAGGACCAACAGAAACUUGCUAGAUUUAAUUCUAAAUUUUCAGAAGAGAUUACCUGUUAUAUCAGGGCUUCAUUUCCGUAGUGUCAUCUACGGUCUAGCACUAGAGAUGCAAAUAUUGCUGCAGACAUCGGAGCCAUGUCUGUGGGUGACAAGGAUGCAGAUGUGGGCUGUGCCACCAUCCCAAAAGUUAUCUAUGGCCAGAGUCAGGGGUGGCACUCUCCUUUGCAAAAGAUCACUCUGGGUGCAAGAAACUGUUCUAUCAUGAAACAGGUAAUUUCUUAUUCAAGAGCAGUCAUAGAUCUUUUACAGGAAGCAUGUUUCAGUAUUUCAAAUUUAUAGGAAUAACUAGACACUUUAUUUGUAAAUAAAUUGGCUUAUCUUAUUUCCUUUUAAUGACAAUACGAUACCACGAAGGGGUAAAUGGUGUUAUUCCUUUUAUUUUCUAAGGGAAAUGGAGGUGGUUAUCUUGCUUAUACACAGAGAAAAUGAGAAAGAGGUGGUCAUUUGAUAAACAGCAUAUCAGGAGAGCUUGCUGGUGGGCACAGGAAGUGCCUGUACCCAGCUCUGGUGCCAGAGUUGCCUCACGGACCUACGACGAAUUCAUAUGCCCUCCUGGCGGGUGAGGGUGACUGCUGCUCUCUCACUGCCCCCACACUGGGCCUCUACUCCAGACAUCACAGUUUCACAUCACAGAAUAUCUCCUCUUCUCUGCAUUUCAGCGUUCGUAUUCUUUACUCAUGUCUUGUUCAUAGUUGUCUUUUCCCACAAUCCUUGCAUACGUCUCUUUUCUUUUUGGCUGCACCUGUGGCAGGCAGAAUUUCCUGGGGGUCAGGGAUCGAACCUGUGCCACAGCAGUAACCUGAGCCAAAGCAGCUAUGAUGCCAGAUUCUUAACCCACUGAGCCUCCAGGGAAUGCCUCCCUGCACAUCAUGGGCAUUUGACAAAUCCCUUCAUGGGCAUUUGACAAAUCCCUUCAGCCCAUUGAUGGAGGGGGGUGGGGGUUGACAUAACUCCCCAGUGUGUUCCACAUGCAAGAGAACACCCAGAGCCAUGGCACUGAGCACACUCCCAUGGAAUAAGGAAGCUGUGCAAGGAAAUGUACAAACCGAUUGUCUACUGCGCUCCUGUACCCUCCAUGAGAAGACUGGAGUGCAGAGAGGGUCACUCGGCUAGUGAGAGGGAACCCUGAGAUCAAAACCCAGGAACUUGCCCACACAUUAGAAUUGCAAGCGAAUGUCCAACUGAAAAUUCUCACAUGGGACAAAAAUAGUUCAUUCUAAAGACAACCUACGGAAUGGGUGAAAGUAGUUUUAAAUGAUGCAACCGAAAAGGGCUUAAUCUCCAAAAUAUACAAACAACUCAGACAACUCAACAGCAGAAAAACAAACAACAGAAUUGAAAAGUGGGCAGAAGACCUGAAUUGGUAUUUCUCCAAAGAAGACAACAGAUGGCCAACAGGGACAUGAAAAAUGCUCAACAUCACUAAUUACUAGAGAAAUGCAAAUCAAAACCACAAUGACGUACCAUUUCGCAUGGGUCAGAAUGGCCAUCUUUAGUAAGUCUACAAAUAGCAAAUGCUGGAGUGGGUGUGGAGAAAAGGGAACCAACCCUUCUACACUGUUGGUGGGAAUGUAAAUUGGUAUAAACAUUAUGGAAAACAGUAUGGCGGUAUCUCAGAAAACUAAAUAUAGAACUACCCAUAUGACCUGGCAAUCCCACUCUUGGGCAAAUAGUCAAACAAAGCUUUCACUGAAAAAGAUACAUGCACCCCUAUGUUCAUUGCAGCACUAUUCACAACAGCCAGACAUGGAAACAACCUAAAUGUCCAUUGACGGAUGAAUGGAUUAAGAAGAUGUGGUACAUAUACACAAUGGAAUAUUACUCAGACAUAAGAAAGAACAACAUAAUGCCAUUUGCAGCAACAUGGAUGGAACUAGAAACUCUUAUACUAAGUAAGUCAGAAAGAUGAAUACCAUAUGAUAUCACUUAUAUCUAGAAUCUGAUAUAUGACACAAAUGAACUUAUCUACAGAAAUAAACAGACUCAUGGACAUGGGGAACAGACUUGUGGUUGCUGAGGGGGAGGACUGGGAGUUUUGGGUUAGUGGAUGCAAAUUAUUGCAUUUGGAGAGGAUAUGCAAUGAGAUCCUGCUGUGUAGCACAGGGAAACUGAAUCAAAUCACUUGUGAUAGAACAUGAUAGAGGAUGAUAUGAGAAAAAGAAUGUAUAAAUAUGUAUAACUGGGUCACUUUGCCAUUGACAGAACACUGUAAAUCAAGUAUAAUAAAAAAUUUUAAAAAGUGAAUGAACUUGGGAGUUCCUGUUGUGGCUCAGUGGGUUAAGAACCCAACUAGUAUCCAUGAGGAUGUGGGUUUGAUCCCUGGCCUUGUCCAGUGGAUUAAGGAUCUGGUAUUGCCAUGAGCCGUGUUAUUGGUUGCAGACACGGCUCAGAUACGGCUUGUGUGGCUGUGGUGUAGGCCAGGAGCUGCAGCUCCACUUGGACCCCUGGCCUGGGAACUUCCAUAUGCUGUGGUUGUGGCCCUAAAAGAAAGAAAAAGGUAAAGGGAAGGGACUUAGAUUGUGCUGGGGAGAAAUCCUAGAAAGUCACAGGUCAAGUUAAAGCUGCAUAGUGAGAACAUCCCUCUAGAGGUGGCCUGACUUCUCAGGGUCUCCCAAGCACCACUCCAUCUGGGCUUCCCCCCUGUAAUGGUGGCUAGUCCCCAAACCCCCAAGGCCCAGUUCAAAUUCUUGGGCCAAAUUUUCCCC